UAAGCCAAGUUGAUUACUCGAUUUAUAUGGAUUGAUUUUAUUUGGUUGAAAUGAGUUGAAAGGUAAUGAAAUUACAGUAUGAUGACUUAUUUUAAUUUUCUCCAUUUACUAAACUUUAGAUAGUUUAGAUGGUAUUUGUUUACUCACUGAGAUUUUAUAAUCUCACCACCCUCAUUUCCUCACAUUUCAGGCUUGGGGAAUUCCAUAGUUAGCUGACUUUGACAAGGACCUUCAUUUGGACUCGAAUCGGUAAAAGUUGUAGGUUUUCAACUUCCGAUGCAUUUUGGUUAGAUGUGGGCCCACGUGUCACUGUAAAAGAAAUUUUAUGCUUUGGUUAUUUGCUUUAUAGUAUAUAUGAAUAUAAUUAACUUUUACGCUAUAAGAAUUUUGUACCG
Molecule: long non-coding RNA, 395 nt
Filed under: Theobroma cacao (cacao)
Lineage: Eukaryota; Viridiplantae; Streptophyta; Magnoliopsida; Malvales; Malvaceae
Description: long non-coding RNA (TCAC_LNC005838)
Source: RNAcentral